Molecule: ribosomal RNA, 119 nt
Organism: Patagioenas fasciata monilis
Lineage: Eukaryota; Metazoa; Chordata; Aves; Columbiformes; Columbidae
Source: Rfam
AUUUACAGCCAUAGCACCCUGAGAACGCCCCAUCUGGUCUGAUCUGGGAAGCUAAGCAGGGUCGGGCCCGGUCAGUGCUUGGAUGGGAGACCAGCUGGGAAUAGCGGGUGCUGUGGGCU